UACGUAGGUGGCGAGCGUUGUCCGGAUUUACUGGGCGUAAAGGGAGCGUAGGCGGACUUUUAAGUGAGAUGUGAAAUACCUGGGCUCAACUUGGGUGCUGCAUUUCAAACUGGAAGUCUAGAGUGCAGGAGAGGAGAAUGGAAUUCCUAGUGUAGCGGUGAAAUGCGUAGAGAUUAGGAAGAACACCAGUGGCGAAGGCGAUUCUCUGGACUGUAACUGACGCUGAGGCUCGAAAGCGUGGGGAGCAAACAGGAUUAGAUACCCGGUA
This 268-nucleotide ribosomal RNA is filed under the name uncultured prokaryote. RNAcentral's name for it is "partial 16S ribosomal RNA". It matches the Rfam family "Bacterial small subunit ribosomal RNA", at positions 524 to 792 of the family's 1533-position model. The record is from RNAcentral.